Long non-coding RNA from Hippocampus zosterae (dwarf seahorse), 466 nucleotides. RefSeq lists it as uncharacterized. The transcript is spliced from 2 exons. NCBI's taxonomy places the organism in Eukaryota, Metazoa, Chordata, Actinopteri, Syngnathiformes, Syngnathidae. The record is from RefSeq and is a predicted model, not a curated record.
CGCCUCCCGUCGCCACGAGCCAGGGAGCGCCAGUCCUCCAGCAUCCCUUCGUCAAAAUCCAACAGUAAAUAAGGCGAAGUCAUGUUGCUCAACUUCUCUGACGUGUUCGCUGCAAGUUCCGCGAAAGACAGCAUCUCAUUCGUCUCAGAAUAAAGGCGAGAUGUGAGCCAAGGCCACGAGGAGUCUAUAGACCAAGAUGGGCAGCCGGAUGAUGUCACCUACAUUCCCUUCGAUGCAAAAAUGAUGAUAGGCGACUCAAAAAAAUGUGAAGGCUAUGUCUUUGUUGGGCUGCUUCUUCUUCUCCGGCCGUGAGGUGAAGCAGCCCAGGCAUGUUUGUAUCAGUAAUUCCUGAACUCCAGAGUUUAAAAGAUAUUGACGAGCAAAUUGAAUUCUUGCUCUUGUGAGGUUUUUGAUUCUGAGUGACUUCCUUCCUUGUAGAUAAAUAAACACGCAUUGAGUAAGUGUG